This 425-nucleotide ribosomal RNA is filed under the name uncultured bacterium. Its description in RNAcentral is "bacterial SSU rRNA". It matches the Rfam family "Bacterial small subunit ribosomal RNA", at positions 338 to 780 of the family's 1533-position model. The record is from RNAcentral.
CCUACGGGUGGCAGCAGUGGGGAAUAUUGGACAAUGGGCGCAAGCCUGAUCCAGCAAUGCCGCGUGGGUGAAGAGGGUCUUCGGAUCGUAAAGCCCUUUCGACAGGGACGAUGAUGACGGUACCUGUAGAAGAAGCCCCGGCUAACUUCGUGCCAGCAGCCGCGGUAAUACGAAGGGGGCUAGCGUUGCUCGGAAUUACUGGGCGUAAAGGGCGCGUAGGCGGCUUAGUCAGUCAGGCGUGAAAUUCCUGGGCUUAACCUGGGGGCUGCGUUUGAGACGGCUGAGCUAGAGGGUAGGAGAGGGUCGUGGAAUUCCCAGUGUAGAGGUGAAAUUCGUAGAUAUUGGGAAGAACACCGGUGGCGAAGGCGGCGACCUGGCCUAUUACUGACGCUGAGGCGCGACAGCGUGGGGAGCAAACAGGAUUA